GAUGAACGCUGGCGGCGUGCCUAAUACAUGCAAGUCGAGCGAACAGAUGAGGAGCUUGCUCCUCUGACGUUAGCGGCGGACGGGUGGGUAACACGUGGAUAACCUACCUAUAAGACUGGGAUAACUUCGGGAAACCGGAGCUACUACCGGAUAAUAUAUUGAACCGCAUGGUUCAAUAUUGAAAGACGGUUUUGCUGUCACUUAUAGAUGGAUCCGCGCCGCAUUAGCUAGUUGGUAAGGUAACGGCUUACCAAGGCAACGAUGCGUAGCCGACCUGAGAGGGUGAUCGGCCACACUGGAACUGAGACACGGUCCAGACUCCUACGGGAGGCAGCAGUAGGGAAUCUUCCGCAAUGGGCGAAAGCCUGACGGAGCAACGCCGCGUGAGUGAUGAAGGUCUUCGGAUCGUAAAACUCUGUUAUUAGGGAAGAACAAAUGUGUAAGUAACUAUGCACGUCUUGACGGUACCUAAUCAGAAAGCCACGGCUAACUACGUG
Molecule: ribosomal RNA, 497 nt
Filed under: uncultured bacterium
Lineage: Bacteria
Description: partial 16S ribosomal RNA
Rfam family: Bacterial small subunit ribosomal RNA
Source: RNAcentral